This 478-nucleotide ribosomal RNA is filed under the name uncultured bacterium. RNAcentral's name for it is "bacterial SSU rRNA". It matches the Rfam family "Bacterial small subunit ribosomal RNA", at positions 29 to 506 of the family's 1533-position model. The record is from RNAcentral.
UUGAACGCUGGCGGCAUGCCUUACACAUGCAAGUCGAACGCGAAAGGGGGCAACCCUGAGUAGAGUGGCGAACGGGUGAGUAAUGCAUCGGAACGUGUCCUGUAGCGGGGGACAACCCCGAGAAAUCGGGGCUAAUACCGCAUACGUCCUACGGGAGAAAGUGGGGACCGCAAGGCCUCACACUAUAGGGGCGGCCGAUGCCGGAUUAGCUAGUUGGUGGGGUAAAGGCUCACCAAGGCGACGAUCCAUAGCGGGUCUGAGAGGACGACCCGCCACACUGGAACUGAGACACGGUCCAGACUCCUACGGGAGGCAGCAGUGGGGAAUUUUGGACAAUGGGGGAAACCCUGAUCCAGCCAUUCCGCGUGAGUGAAGAAGGCCUUCGGGUUGUAAAGCUCUUUCAGCAGGAACGAAACGGUCGGCUUUAAUAAAGUCGGCUAAUGACGGUACCUGCAGAAGAAGCACCGGCUAACUACGU